AGAAGUUAGUCCGAUGUACAAGCUAUUGCUCCAUCAAGAUACAUUUAAUGCCGCGUUCUCUGCCAUGGAAUGGGCGGGUGCGUUCAACUUGGAUAUUACUGGGGAAACGGAUGGAGGAAUCAACCUCCUAACAACUGAGACACUGAAGUCAAUAAGCCCAGAUAUUCCAAAAAUGUACCCUGAGAAUUGUCCCAUUAUUAUGAAAGUUGGGGUAAACAGGACCCCUCGUGUCACUCUACACAAGGGGAAGAUUGUCCUUUUUGUGCAGCCUUCACUGGAGCUUAUGGUGAUCCUACCACAUGACAGACCUCCUGACUCUUUCAUCGUUC
Long non-coding RNA from Pseudophryne corroboree (corroboree frog), 329 nucleotides. RefSeq lists it as uncharacterized. NCBI's taxonomy places the organism in Eukaryota, Metazoa, Chordata, Amphibia, Anura, Myobatrachidae. The transcript is spliced from 3 exons. The record is from RefSeq and is a predicted model, not a curated record.